Molecule: long non-coding RNA, 902 nt
Filed under: Homo sapiens (human)
Lineage: Eukaryota; Metazoa; Chordata; Mammalia; Primates; Hominidae
Description: HSALNT0283345
Source: RNAcentral
AAAACCUGGCAUAGCGGCCAGCCUGGUGGGGUGGUGGCAAGGCAGGAGGGCCAGCUGGCUGCUGAGCUGAAUAGGACUGAUGACUCUGUUUCCCUGGUUGUCCUGUUUGAUGUUAAUCACCAGGCUGAGCAAGCUCUUCAACCAGACACAGCUGGCCCCCAGGGAAAUACGACAAGAGGCCAGGGAGGGUCUAGGUUAUUUGGAGUUAAAGACCUGCAGGACGGGGCAGAGUCAGGGGCAGGGAGUUUGAAGGAGGGGGUCAGAGGGUACAGAGAUGGAAAAAGAUGGUGAUGGAGGUCUCUAGUGAUGGCAGAUGGCAGAUGAAAGGGGAAGCUUGGGGACCAGCUGACCUCCAAGGUUCCUUUCAGCUGGAAAAACUGGUUCCAAGGGACACAGGAGUGAAGAGAUGAACUAACUGCCAGACAGGACCUUCAACAAACCGAAAGAGAGCCUCCCAGUCUCAGAGCUGUGGUCCAGCCACUGGGACACUUGCUGAGAUCCCAUCUAAGAUUUAGGGUCAGAGCUGGCAAGCAGAGAUACCAAAGGACACCAGUCUAGGGAAGGACAAACAGUGAGGUUCAGGCCUGGCAGUGAAGAAACCUCAACUGAGCCACAAUUUGCUGUGUGAUCUUAGAUGGGGAGCCUGAGGCCCAGAGAGGGCAAAGACAUGCUCAAAGUUGCACAGCAAGACAGCCAUGGAAGCAAGUUGGAACCCAGGGUUCUUGACUCUUCCCGCUUGGCCUCUUGGGGUGCUGAAACCUCUGUGUUCAGAAGUCCUGCUCCCUUCUGUGCACUAAAGGAUGAGAAUAAAGCACCCUUUGGAUUUCUUCCUGUGGCUUCCAGCCGGACAGGACACCAGAGGCAAGCUGGCCUGGCUGCUUCCUAGCUGUGUGACCCGGGAC